RNAcentral lists this ribosomal RNA (449 nucleotides) under uncultured bacterium. Its description in RNAcentral is "partial 16S ribosomal RNA". It matches the Rfam family "Bacterial small subunit ribosomal RNA", at positions 355 to 794 of the family's 1533-position model. The record is from RNAcentral.
UGGGGAAUUUUGGACAAUGGGCGCAAGCCUGAUCCAGCCAUGCCGCGUGCGGGAAGAAGGCCUUCGGGUUGUAAACCGCUUUUGUCAGGGAAGAAAUCUUCUGAGUUAAUACCUCGGGAGGAUGACGGUACCUGAAGAAUAAGCACCGGCUAACUACGUGCCAGCAGCCGCGGUAAUACGUAGGGUGCAAGCGUUAAUCGGAAUUACUGGGCGUAAAGCGUGCGCAGGCGGUUUUGUAAGACAGAGGUGAAAUCCCCGGGCUCAACCUGGGAACUGCCUUUGUGACUGCAAGGCUUGAGUGCGGCAGAGGGGGCAUGGAAUUCCGCGUGUAGCAGUGAAAUGCGUAGAUAUGCGGAGGAACACCGAUGGCGAAGGCAAUCCCCCUGGGCCUGCACUGACGCUCAUGCACGAAAGCGUGGGGAGCAAACAGGAUUAGAUACCCUGGUAGU